GAAGCCAGGAGGGCAGAAACUGGAAAGCAGGUGGCAGAGCUGGGAGCUGCUGCUGAUUAUUCCCAGGCCUUGAAACCAGAUGAAGUUUACUCAGUCCUAUUUCAAAAUUGCUUGGAAUUGAUGGAGGAAGGGAGCCAUGAGUCAAGGAAUGAGGCAGCUUGAAAACCUGGGAAUGGCCUUCAGCAUACAGCCAACAAGAAAACAAGGGCCUCAGUUCUACAGCCGGAAAGAACUGAAUUCUGCCAACAGCCUGCAUGAGUAAGAAAACAGAUUCUCCCUAGAGCCUCCAGAUAGCAAUGCAGUCCUGCUGAUGCCUUAAUUUUAGUAGAGUGAGACCUUUGCAGACUUCUGACCUAUAUAACUAUAAUUAAUAAAUCUGAGUUGUUGUACGC
RNAcentral lists this long non-coding RNA (392 nucleotides) under Homo sapiens (human). Its description in RNAcentral is "HSALNT0201277". Lineage: Eukaryota; Metazoa; Chordata; Mammalia; Primates; Hominidae. The record is from RNAcentral.